CGGACAUGCACGACGAUGACGUCACGUGGCCGAGAGGCAGUGCAGUAAAGACUGGCAGGAGAGGCUACUGUAGGCGCGACGCUAUAGAGACACAGCCAUCAUGAGAAAGACACCUUGAUCAUGGCUCUAUAAGGGGUCCCACAAACCAGGUUCCUGUGCAAAGCUCAAGGCAUGGUUGCUGGGAGGAAGGCUUAUCCAGCAUGUCACAUUCAUUCUGUCCGGGGACGCAGAAGACUCGUCGCCUCUGAACGCCCGGAACACACUUGACGGAACACUGCGCAAAAGAAAGUGACGGCGACUGGUGAAAGCCCAGGUACACAAAACCACGAGCUGCAAUUAACCCCAUAUGAUGGUCAAGAGGACUGUCACUUCUUGCUAGAGUGCCUGGCGUCCGAAUCAUGACUUUGACUCUCGAUGAACCACUUGGACGUCGAAGCGAGAGAGCGGGAACACCGAGCCGCAAG
Long non-coding RNA from Dermacentor albipictus, 464 nucleotides. RefSeq lists it as uncharacterized. NCBI's taxonomy places the organism in Eukaryota, Metazoa, Arthropoda, Arachnida, Ixodida, Ixodidae. The record is from RefSeq and is a predicted model, not a curated record.